RNAcentral lists this unclassified non-coding RNA (1800 nucleotides) under Pomacea canaliculata. Its description in RNAcentral is "uncharacterized LOC112575093, transcript variant X3". Lineage: Eukaryota; Metazoa; Mollusca; Gastropoda; Architaenioglossa; Ampullariidae. The record is from RNAcentral.
AUGCGCGUGUGUUUGUUUUUGGGUUGUUUAUGACCAUGUACUUGUAUGUGUGUACGUGUACAUGUGUGUUUCUCUAUCUCUGUAGAGGUGGUUCGGUGACCCAAAGGUUAUAGCGCCUGUCACCUAUACACUGAGGGUUGGCUGUACAGGGUUCAGUUCUCGUCUAGCUGUUCUUUCUCUCUAUGUGGCAUCUGUUUACAGGACUGGCUGUGUUGCCGUGAUGUAGCCUUAUAUGCUGACGGCUUAAAACACCAAUUCCCCCUCCACCCCUUGCUCUGUGUGAGUGUGAGUAAUUUUAUCUCCAGCUUUUUUUUUCAAACUGUAAAACCUAACGUCGCCCAAAAGAAAAAAAACAAGGGAGGGGCUCAACCACGGACUGUCAAUGUGUGUAGGCGACUCAGACCUGCUGACUCUUUACAACACAGUCACAAGGACUUUGCCUUUGAUCACACCAGACACUCAUUUUGUGGGAUAUUUUGUGGUUACAUGUUUGUGCAUCGAAACACAUUCGUCUGUUUUCAGGAGAUUCAUUUUCUAUUGACAGCCUAGCUAUGUCAAGAUGACCUACGAACUUAACUGACAACUUUACAGUGAACUUCUAUUUACGUGUGUGCAGAUAACUUGCCUGUCUAGUCUCAAGGGCUUGUAUGUACUUCAAGCCUUUAGCCCUCUAGCAAGACUAGUGUGACCUGAGUGGAUCGUGUGGUGUCGGGGCUGAAGACCGGUAGUACACUCGGGUGACUUCAAUGGCAACCUAAGCUGCAGUACCCCGUGGAUUUUGUGGCUUUGUAAAAUAAUCUAGGAGCAGGCCAUGUAGUCCGUUAUUAAUCUGCUCAGAGCCUUUCACACACUAAUUGUUGAGGAGAGGACCAAUGUUUCACUUAGUCUAAAGAUAUUAAUGUGAUACAAGUGGCAUAUUUAACGACUGGUUGGAAAAUCCUGGACUGAAUCCAAACUCGGUCUGGAGUACACCGGUGAGGACCCUCAGUUCGUCAGUUCUAUUUAUAGUAUCUGUUUUUGCUUACGUAGUUGAAGCGGCCAAACUGUCAGUUCCUUCUCAUUCAUGUCUCCUCGGUAGGUCCUUCCUCCGUUUGUUCUCAUAUUAAUACAUAUUAAAAAAAAAUUGUAAUCCUCAUAUCUGAAGUUGGCAGGUAUGUAGGAAGCGCGGGUGCUUUUUGACUGCUCUUGUUUAUCACCAAGGGCUUUAUUAUUUAUUUACGAGGGUGGCAGGACAGAAAGACAACUAAAAGAAGUGGCCACUAUGGUCAGAUCCCGCUAGUCGGUAAGAUUGUAGGUUCGAUAAAAGAAAUAUUUCGAUUAGUUAACGGCUUUUAGAGGCUAACAUCAGUCUAUUAGACAAAAAAAAGGAACAUCCUUCCCUCCCGGCACUCAAAUGACUUGUUUACAUCUCAUUUAUUUACAAAUUCACGAAGUGUUAUUCCAAAACAAUUGGUGUGUGCUGUUAUUUCUAUGGGUUUGAUGUUGCUGGUUUUUUCCCCCAUGUAACUCAAAGCUUUUAGUUGUUUAGCUGCAGAAAAUUUACAGAUAGACUUUUUAUUUUACAAUAAUGGCUAAUAAUAAUUAGGUUUUUUAGUGUCAAGAUUUAUCCAAGUUUCAGGUUAAGCAUUGAAUGAAAGAGUAAGCAAACAAAUAAACAAAUCAGUCAGUCAAUCAAUAAAUUCUUCUAAUAUUGUUGCUUUAUGAAAAAUGUCAAUUUUUAACAAUGACACGCUGUUUCGCUUCAGCAGUUUUUGUCGGUAAAUAAUAAAGAUGUUGAAACAUGCAAAAUUAUACACAACA